AGCGGCGGACGGGUGAGUAACACGUGGGUAACCUGCCUGAUAGACCGGGAUAACGCUUGGAAACGAGUGCUGAUACCGGAUAGGCUCCUUGACCGCAUGGUCUUGGAGGGAAAGAGGCUUCUGCCUCACUGUCAGAUGGACCCGCGGCGCAUUAGCUAGUUGGUGGGGUAACGGCCCACCAAGGCGACGAUGCGUAGCCGACCUGAGAGGGUGACCGGCCACACUGGGACUGAGACACGGCCCAGACUCCUACGGGAGGCAGCAGUAGGGAAUCUUCCACAAUGGGCGCAAGCCUGAUGGAGCAACGCCGCGUGAGUGAUGACGGCCUUCGGGUUGUAAAACUCUGUCUUCUGUGACGAACAAGUGCGUGAUUGGAAUGCUCGCACCCUGACGGUAACA
This 399-nucleotide ribosomal RNA is filed under the name uncultured soil bacterium. RNAcentral's name for it is "bacterial SSU rRNA". It matches the Rfam family "Bacterial small subunit ribosomal RNA", at positions 94 to 480 of the family's 1533-position model. The record is from RNAcentral.